RNAcentral lists this ribosomal RNA (268 nucleotides) under uncultured bacterium. RNAcentral describes it as "partial 16S ribosomal RNA". It matches the Rfam family "Bacterial small subunit ribosomal RNA", at positions 30 to 296 of the family's 1533-position model. The record is from RNAcentral.
AUUGAACGCUGGCGGCAUGCUUUACACAUGCAAGUCGAACGGCAGCACGGGAGCUUGCUCCUGGUGGCGAGUGGCGAACGGGUGAGUAAUACAUCGGAACGUACCCUGAAGUGGGGGAUAACGUAGCGAAAGUUACGCUAAUACCGCAUAUUCUGUGAGCAGGAAAGAGGGGGAUCGCAAGACCUCUUGCUUUAGGAGCGGCCGAUGUCGGAUUAGCUAGUUGGUGAGGUAAAGGCUCACCAAGGCGACGAUCCGUAGCGGGUCUGAG